Molecule: ribosomal RNA, 504 nt
Filed under: uncultured bacterium
Lineage: Bacteria
Description: partial 16S ribosomal RNA
Rfam family: Bacterial small subunit ribosomal RNA
Source: RNAcentral
AUUGAACGCUGGCGGCAGGCCUAACACAUGCAAGUCGAACGGUAGCACAGAGAGCUUGCUCUCGGGUGACGAGUGGCGGACGGGUGAGUAACGUCUGGGAAACUGCCCGAUGGAGGGGGAUAACUACUGGAAACGGUAGCUAAUACCGCAUAACGUCGCAAGACCAAAGUGGGGGACCUUCGGGCCUCACACCAUCGGAUGUGCCCAGAUGGGAUUAGCUAGUAGGUGGGGUAAUGGCUCACCUAGGCGACGAUCCCUAGCUGGUCUGAGAGGAUGACCAGCCACCGUGGAACGAGGACACGGUCCAGACUCCUACGGGAGGCAGCAGUGGGGAAUAUUGCACAAUGGGCGCAAGCCUGAUGCAGCCGUGCCGCGUGUAUGAAGAAGGCCUUCGGGUUGUAAAGUACUUUCAGCGGGGAGGAAGGCGGUGAAGUUAAUAGCUUCACCGAUUGACGUUACCCGCAGAAGAAGCACCGGCUAACUCCGUGCCAGCCGCCGCCGUAA